RNAcentral lists this ribosomal RNA (232 nucleotides) under uncultured bacterium. RNAcentral's name for it is "partial 16S ribosomal RNA". It matches the Rfam family "Bacterial small subunit ribosomal RNA", at positions 15 to 240 of the family's 1533-position model. The record is from RNAcentral.
GAUCUGGCUCAGGAUGAACGCUAGCUACAGGCUUAACACAUGCAAGUCGAGGGGCAGCAUCAUCAAAGCUUGCUUUGAUGGAUGGCGACCGGCGCACGGGUGAGUAACACGUAUCCAACCUGCCGACAACACUGGGAUAGCCUUUCGAAAGAAAGAUUAAUACCGGAUGGCAUAGUCUUCCCGCAUGGGAUGAUUAUUAAAGAAAUUCGGUUGUCGAUGGGGAUGCGUUCCA